UUUAUGUAUUCAGACCGGGUUCCUACUGGAUUGAAGGUUUUAGGGGAAAGGAGCAAAUAAAAGCAUUUGCAUGUUACUGGAAGCGCUAACCCCUUGGGGGAGUCUUUUUGGGAGGGAUGAGUCGUUUUGUGAAUGCAUACACACAGAGUGAAGUGGUCAGACACUUGGGGCUUUCCUCCAACUUUCUUUUUUGGUUUUGUUUGUUUGUUUGUGACAUUUCUUUGCUGCUCUAUCCUUAGGGAGCAGCAGAUGGCGCUCUUGUUAGCUAUUUGCUUUUGUGUGAUUUGACUAUUCAUUUAUCAACACAUCCUGGGCAGGAAUUCUUGUGAGUUAAGAGUUGAGUUUUUCCCCUAGACCUGCCUGUGUGCUUUCUGAGGCAGCCUCUGCUUUUGUCCCUGCAAAUAGAAAUAAGAACUCGUGUGGUGUUGUCUUUUGUGCUUUCACAUGGGAGUUGACUCGCUGCUUUGCAUGCUCAGCAGAUGUGUCCACGUGCGAGCCUUCUAGUUGGAGUUGGGCUGUACAUUGUCACCUCCACAACACCAGCGGUGGAAUUGGGCUGUACAUUGUCACCUCCACAACACCAGCGGUGGAGUUGGGCUGUACAUUGUCACCUCCAUAACACUAGGCUUGGAGUUGGGUUGUACAUUCUCACCUCCACAACACCGGCGUUGGAGUUGGGUUGUGCAUUCUCACCUCCACAACACCAGCGGUGGAGUUGGGUUGUACAUUCUCACCUCCACAACACCAGCGGUGGAGUUGGGUUGUACAUUCUCACCUCUACAACACCGGCGGUGGAGUUGGGUUGUACAUUCUCACCUCUACAACAUCGGCGGUGGAGUUGGGUUGUACAUUCUCACCUCUACAACAUCGGCGGUGGAGUUGGGUUGUACAUUCUCACCUCUACAACACCGGCGGUGGAGUUGGGCUGUACAUUCUCACCUCUACAACACCAGCGGUGGAGUUGGGCUGUACAUUCUCACCUCCACAACACCAACGGUGGAGUUGGGUUGUACAUUCUCACCUCCAUAACACUAGGGUUGGAGUUGGGUUGUACAUUGUCACCCCCACAACACCAGCGUUGGAGUUGGGUUGUACAUUGUCACCUCCACAAACCAGCGUUGGAGUUGGGUUGUGCAUUGUCACCUCCACAAACCAGCGUUGGAGUUGGGUUGUACAUUGUCACCUCCACAAACCAGCGUUGGAGUUGGGUUGUACAUUCUUACCUCUACAACACCGACCGGCGUUGGAGUUGGGUUGUACAUUGUCACCUCCACAACACCGGCGAUUCUGUAGUCUCACCUGUUGCCAUGCCUAAUGCUUUUCCCGGCUCUCCAGAGAUGCUGCUGCCUUGGGCAGACCCUCCCGACUGGAUUACUUCAACUCAGUUGUCUGUCCCUACUUUUGGCCCCUCCCACUCUUCUCCCCUUUGUGCUGCUAAAUGAUCUUUUCACAGGGAUGGUUUAACUAUGGCAUUGCUUCACUAGAAUCUGUAGUCGGGUCCCUUCCCCUUUGAGAUGGAGCGUAGCUUUUCUGGUUCCGUGUCUGUCUCCAGCCGUCUCAUUUCCCCUUCACCUUGGAGAGUCAGCCUUGCAGAGUGACUUGGAGCUUCUUCAAACUCCUUUUCAUCUUUGUAAAUGUUGGGCCCCCUGCCUAGAAGGCCUUCUGCCAGAAUAGCUGUCCUGAGCAUGCUUGGCAUGAGUAUAGGCACACCAGUGUCCAGCGCCUCUUCCUUCUCCAGCCCUUGGUCUGUCCUGUCCCCUGUGAGCCCCAUGUCCUUCAGGUAGGCCUGUUCGAUGGCAUGCCUUCCUGUGCUGGGGAGGGAGCUGAAUUUGAGGGGCCCCGCAAAGGGGUGAAGAUGCUCUGCUUCUCUGGUUCAGGCUGUCCGUUGUGCUCACCCUGUAGAUGCCUUUUGAAUGCUCUGUCAGGCCGAGUGGAUGGUUCCCUGGAGCUCACUGAAUCAGCCUGGAGGCACUAAGGCCAGCCACUGCUGUUGGGUGCCAUCCAUGGCUGCUGCCCUUUCAUCGCUGAAUAUCUAAAAAUCCAAAGCUAACGCGGAAUCGAGUGCUUUGUGCAGAGGCUCACUGGAAUGCUGGUGUCCCAACGGCCCGCAGUAGCCAGAGGCUCACCGUAACUUGGGGGAGGGAGGGGGGAAUGACAUGACUGUGUGUGAGCUGGGCAUGUUCCCCUUUAGUGCCCUUUGACAAAGCAAGAGACUGUCAGUCCAGACAGCAAAGUAAAAGCCGAGGCCACCUGCUGCGAACUGCAGGCAGAUAGGCCUGCAGCCCUUGUGGGACACCUUGAGGGUGCUGCCCUGUCAGCCUGCACACGAGGCUGAAGCACUUACGUUGAGGUGUCUCUCACCCCAGCCGUGGCACCGUCACUAAGUGUUUGAGUUCUGACAGGCCGUCCGUCUUCUCUCUGCACCUGCCGCUCACAGAGAGGAGGUGGCAUUGGGCCACCUCCAUCAAGUCAACCCCAGGAAAAGCUGGCUAGGACACUGCCCCUGCCACUUGCUUUCUGUUUAGUUGGCCCUCAGUGUUUAUCUGUUUCAUUUCGCUGUUUACCUUGUCUGUUGAGGACAUGCAUAGCUGUGAUGUACACGCAGUCCAUCUUCGGAUUAUUCUUAUGUUCCUGUCAUUUUAGUUGGUGUAGAAAACAACGGGCUUUGUGAUGAAAUUUCCAGACAUACAUUGUCAUUGGGCUCUGUUCAUACUGGCUUUCUGUAUUACUCUCCUGUCCUGUCUCCCAUCUAUCCCUUCCAUCCCUCCCUAGUUAGCGCCCCUCUGCCUUGUCUAACACACACACACACACACACACACACACACACACUCACACUCACACACACUCACACACGCACGUGAUACAUGAGAAUUACACAUAGGAGCGAAAUCAUGUGUCUGCAUAAAGUCACAUUGUGUAUAUACACUGCUUUUUUCUUUUUCUUUCUAGUCUGGCUCCAUUCUUUGGCUGUUGUGAGUAAGCACAAACAUGCUGGUGUCUCUGUUUGUGCCUGCCCUGAUUUCUCUGGGUCUAUACCAAGAAGUGACACGGCUGGAUUGCACAGGGGUUCUCUUUUCAGUUUUCUGGGAGUAUCCUUAUUGAUUUCCAAUGGGCCCCCACAGGUUUUCUGUUGGUGUGUGUGUGUGUGUGUGUGUGUGUGUGUGUGUGUGUUCCUAGGGGUCAAGCUGGGCCCGUGAUGGCCAUGUGUUCUGCCACUGAGUUCUGUCCCAAUUGUUGACAUACCAGCUUUAAUACCCCUCAUCUUCCCAUCAGUCCUGGGCUGGAUGAAGAGCCCUGGCGUUCACUGGUUUCCGAGAGGCUGCAAAGCUCACGCACACCUGUAGUCAGUACGGAGCUCUGGUUUAUGGAGCUUUCACUUGCGGUGCAGCUAUUCCUUAAGAUGCGCUCACCCUCGUGAAGGGCGUUGUCUUAGAGUGAGUGGCAUAGUAUUAUCUGCCCACUUCUCAAUCUGUAUGUAUCCUGCCAUUAUAUAUCAAUGAACUGAAGUAUUUGUCAUGUACUUUUAAAAUUUAGUCUAUUUUAUAUUUUUGCUUUACUUUUAUAUAUAACGCACAAAAUAAUCCCCAAUUAAAAUAAUUUAAUUUCUUUUACUAAAAUGUUAACUUCAUUGAGAUAAAUUUGUAUUCAUUGGAAAUUGGGUGGUAAGUGUCCAAGUACCACAAUCAAGAAGUAGAACUUUGCCGUCUCCGUCACUGUUGUGUUGCUGGGAAGAGGCACCAUGACCAAGGUAAUUUAUAAACGGAAGCAUUUAACUGGGGGCUUGCCUGCAGUUUCACCUUGGUUGGGAGUGUGGUGGCAGCCGGGCAGGCCUGGAAGCAUAGCAGUAGCCGAGAGUUUACAUCUUACCUACAAGUUAGAGGCAGAGGAGAGCUCAGGACUGUGUUUGGCAAGGGCUUCUGAGACCUCAAAGAAAAUCUAUUCGCCUCUUUCAUUACCCCUACAAUAAUAGGCCUACCUGUUGUAAUUAUCAUCGUUGUGUCAGCCCCAAUGACACACCUCCUCUGACAAGAGCACACCUCCUACUCCUUCCUAAACAGUAGCUGGGGGCCAGCACUGGGCCUAAGAGCCUGUGGAGGCCGUUUCUAGUCAGACCAUCGCAGACCCUUGACAGUCAGUUCCAUGUGUUGCACCUGCCUCCUCAGCUACAUAAGCAUUGAUCUGAUUUUGUCAACACCCAUCGCCAUUGUCAGUAGAACACCAUGUAGUUCACAUCGUAGGUACCCUCUUAUGUGCUGCCCCCAAAAUAAUAACCACGAGACUGUACAUCUUCUUACAGGCACUGUCCCCCCAAUAUAAUAAUCAUGAAACUGUACGUUUUCUUACAGGCACUGUUCCCCAAAAUAAUAACCACGAGACUGUACAUCUUCUUACAGGCACUGUCCCCCCAAUAUAAUAAUCAUGAAACUGUACGUUUUCUUACAGGCACUGUUCCCCAAAAUAAUAACCACGAGACUGUACAUCUUCUUACAGGCACUGUCCCCCAAUAUAAUAAUCAUGAGACUGUACGUUUUCUUACAGGCGCUGCUCACCCCAAAAUGAUAACCAUGAAACUAUGUUUUCUUACAGGUGCUGCUCCCCAAAAUAAUAAUCAUGAAACUCUACAUCUUCUCACAGGUGCUGCUCCCCAAAAUAAUAAUCACGAGACUGUACGUUUUCUUACAAGUGCUGCCCCCCAUUGCCACAUAAAUAUGUUGAGCUGUUAAAAUUAUGGUUCUAAGCUGUCUAUGGAGCCGCUCCUGGUCUGAUGUCUGUAAGGUCUGUAGUUGCAGCUCACUCUUCAUCCUGACGACUGAUUGGUUCUUUUCACUGUUUUUGUUCUUUUCUCCUGUUGGGGGCUUGCAGAUGUUUUGCCAAUUUUAUUAAUCAGUCUGUUCAAAUACCUAACUUUUAACCUUGCCUUCUUGUUUACAGUUAAAGGUUUUCUAGUUUCCUUUGUAUUGUCAUUUAGAAUGUUAUUUAAAGUCUCAUAUAGAUUGAGAGCUUUAUUGUCUAAAUGUUUAGUACUUUUCUGGAAACUGAACUUGGGUCUUCUGUAAGAGCAGUGUAUGUUCUUAGCUACUGUGCUGUUAUCUCCAGCCCCCAGAAUUAUUUUGUCAAAUAUAUUUUCUGCUCCAGGUAUGUAAGUGUAACACUGCUUGAUACUGUCCCAUAGGCUCCUUAAGUCCUCUCUGCUUAAUCAUCAUCAUCAUCAUCCUCACCAUCCUCACCAUCAUCUCCAUCCUCACUACCAUCACCAUCCUCACUGUUUUUAGUACUGUUCUCCAAACAGGAAAUUAGGAAUUAUGAAGCUAUUAAUUUAUUCAUGUCCCUUAUCCUUUGUUUCGUAUCUUAAGUUUGCUUUUAAACUUACCCAGUAAAAUUUAUGCCAGUGUACAUUUUUGGGUUUUGAAUUUUUGUUUGAGAUUGUAACUUAAUUACAACAUUUCACUCUCCUUUUGAGUCUUUAAACUCAUUGAAAUCAUGUUUUGUUAUAUGUCUUUGAACAUAUUUACAACAGCUGAUUUAAAGAGCCUCUCUGCUAACUUGUGUGUCUGAGUUAUCUUAGGAUCUGUGUUUUCAGCUACCAACUUUCCAAUGCUUGGCCAACUUUCCUGCCACGUUCUAAUUCCUGAUAACUGGAUCAGAUUUUAUUAAGACUUCCACUGGAAAAGAAACGGUAAAUGCCACCUUCCCAGUAGCGAUCGUAAUGCUACGAGCUAUUAGAGAUUUCUUCUGGAAAACUGGAAACAAG
Mesocricetus auratus (golden hamster) is the source of this 5752-nucleotide RNA transcript. It is a transcript of the gene named deoxyribose-phosphate aldolase, with no coding region annotated. Lineage: Eukaryota; Metazoa; Chordata; Mammalia; Rodentia; Cricetidae. The transcript is spliced from 2 exons. The record is from RefSeq and is a predicted model, not a curated record.